AUUAUGUGGAUCUUUACACUUUUAAUGCGGUUCUACGCCAUAAAUCAUAUUUGUGAAAGCGUUAAAUUUAAGGCAAACAAAAUUAAGAAAAUAAUUCAUCAACUGACAAAUUCACUUCAAUAUAGUACAGUUUGGAAAGAGGUUCAGCAAUUUUCUCUACAAACAAUGCAAAAUCCAUUAGAGUUUACUG
Molecule: non-coding RNA, 190 nt
Organism: Linepithema humile (Argentine ant)
Lineage: Eukaryota; Metazoa; Arthropoda; Insecta; Hymenoptera; Formicidae
Source: RefSeq, a predicted model, not a curated record